GUCGUAACAAGGUUUCCGUAGGUGAACCUGCGGAAGGAUCAUUACCGAGUGCGGGUCCUUUGGGCCCAACCUCCCAUCCGUGUCUAUUGUACCCUGUUGCUUCGGCGGGCCCGCCGCUUGUCGGCCGCCGGGGGGGCGCCUCUGCCCCCCGGGCCCGUGCCCGCCGGAGACCCCAACACGAACACUGUCUGAAAGCGUGCAGUCUGAGUUGAUUGAAUGCAAUCAGUUAAAACUUUCAACAAUGGAUCUCUUGGUUCCGGCAUCGAUGAAGAACGCAGCGAAAUGCGAUAACUAAUGUGAAUUGCAGAAUUCAGUGAAUCAUCGAGUCUUUGAACGCACAUUGCGCCCCCUGGUAUUCCGGGGGGCAUGCCUGUCCGAGCGUCAUUGCUGCCCUCAAGCCCGGCUUGUGUGUUGGGUCGCCGUCCCCCUCUCCGGGGGGACGGGCCCGAAAGGCAGCGGCGGCACCGCGUCCGAUCCUCGAGCGUAUGGGGCUUUGUCACAUGCUCUGUAGGAUUGGCCGGCGCCUGCCGACGUUUUCCAACCAUUCUUUCCAGGUUGACCUCGGAUCAGGUAGGGAUACCCGCUGAACUUAAGCAUAUCAUA
This 603-nucleotide ribosomal RNA is filed under the name Aspergillus niger. RNAcentral describes it as "eukaryotic LSU rRNA". The stretch from base 231 to 384 matches the Rfam family "5.8S ribosomal RNA". Lineage: Eukaryota; Fungi; Ascomycota; Eurotiomycetes; Eurotiales; Aspergillaceae. The record is from RNAcentral.